RNAcentral lists this ribosomal RNA (253 nucleotides) under uncultured bacterium. RNAcentral's name for it is "partial 16S ribosomal RNA". It matches the Rfam family "Bacterial small subunit ribosomal RNA", at positions 524 to 776 of the family's 1533-position model. The record is from RNAcentral.
UACGUAGGGUGCAAGCGUUAAUCGGAAUUACUGGGCGUAAAGCGUGCGCAGGCGGUUCUAUAAGACAGAUGUGAAAUCCCCGGGCUCAACCUGGGAACUGCAUUUGUGACUGUAGAGCUGGAGUACGGCAGAGGGGGAUGGAAUUCCGCGUGUAGCAGUGAAAUGCGUAGAUAUGCGGAGGAACACCGAUGGCGAGGGCAAUCCCCUGGGCCUGCACUGACGCUCAUGCGCGAAAGCGUGGGGAGCAAACAGG